ACGUAGGGAGCGAGCGUUAUCCGGAAUUAUUGGGUGUAAAGGGUGCGUAGACGGGAGAACAAGUUAGUUGUGAAAUACCUCGGCUCAACUGAGGAACUGCAACUAAAACUGUACUUCUUGAGUGCAGGAGAGGUAAGUGGAAUUCCUAGUGUAGCGGUGAAAUGCGUAGAUAUUAGGAGGAACACCAGUGGCGAAGGCGACUUACUGGACUGUAACUGACGUUGAGGCACGAAAGUGUGGGGAGCAAACAG
Molecule: ribosomal RNA, 251 nt
Filed under: uncultured bacterium
Lineage: Bacteria
Description: partial 16S ribosomal RNA
Rfam family: Bacterial small subunit ribosomal RNA
Source: RNAcentral